CCCUUAGAUGUCCUGGGCUGCACGCGCGCUACACUGAUGUGUCCAGUAAGCACCUAACCUAUUCCGAGGGGAGCGGGUAACCUUAGCAAAGCACAUCGUGAUGGGGAUAGAUUAUUGCAAUUAUUAGUCUUGAACGAGGAAUUCCUAGUAAGCACAAGUCAUCAGCUUGUGUUGAUUACGUCCCUGCCCUUUGUACACACCGCCCGUCGCUCCUACCGAUUGAAUGUUCCGGUGAGCUCUUCGGACUGCGCGGUCUGCAGUUUCUGCGUUCCGUGCGGAAAGUUGUGCAAACCUUAACAUUUAGAGGAAGGAGAAGUCGUAACA
Molecule: ribosomal RNA, 324 nt
Filed under: uncultured eukaryote
Lineage: Eukaryota
Description: partial 18S ribosomal RNA
Rfam family: Eukaryotic small subunit ribosomal RNA
Source: RNAcentral